Molecule: ribosomal RNA, 499 nt
Filed under: uncultured sponge symbiont PAWS74
Lineage: Bacteria
Description: bacterial SSU rRNA
Rfam family: Bacterial small subunit ribosomal RNA
Source: RNAcentral
GAGUUUGAUCCUGGCUCAGGAUGAACGCUGGCGGCGUGCCUAAUGCAUGCAAGUCGAACGAGGUCGGUCCUUCGGGGCCCAAACCUAGUGGCAGACGGCUGAGUAACGCGUGGGUGACCUGCCCCCGAGAACGGGAUAACUGCGGGAAACUGCAGCUAAUACCGUAUACAUUCCCGUGCUUCAAUGCGCGGGAAGAAAGAUUUAUCGCUCGGGGAUGGGCCCGCGUCCUAUCAGGUAGUUGGUGCGGUAACGGCGCACCAAGCCGAAAACGGGUAUCUGGUGUGAGAGCAUGACCAGACAGAGGGGGACUGAGACACGGCCCCCACUCCUCCGGGAGGCAGCAGCAAGGGAUCGUGCACAAUGGGCGAAAGCCUGAUGCCGCGACGCCGCGUGAGGGAUGACGGCUUUCGAGUUGUAAACCUCUUUUCUCAGGGAAGAGAGAGGACGUCACCUGAGGAAUAAGUCACGGCUAACUACGUGCCAGCAGCCGCGGUAAUAC